Molecule: small nuclear RNA, 107 nt
Organism: Vombatus ursinus (common wombat)
Lineage: Eukaryota; Metazoa; Chordata; Mammalia; Diprotodontia; Vombatidae
Source: Ensembl
GUACUUCAGCAGCAAAUGUACUAAAAGUGUACUAAAAAUACAGAGAAGAAUAACAUGGCCCCUUAUGCAAGGAUGACAUGGAAAUUUGUGGAGCGUUCCAUAUUUUU